This 329-nucleotide long non-coding RNA is filed under the name dengue virus type 1. RNAcentral describes it as "dengue virus type I partial sfRNA1". The record is from RNAcentral. Lineage: Riboviria; Orthornavirae; Kitrinoviricota; Flasuviricetes; Amarillovirales; Flaviviridae.
AAGAAGUCAGGCCGUUUUAAGCCAUAGUACGGUAAGAGCUAUGCUGCCUGUGAGCCCCGUCCAAGGACGUAAAAUGAAGUCAGGCCGAAAGCCACGGCUUGAGCAAACCGUGCUGCCUGUGGCUCCAUCGUGGGGAUGUAAAACCCGGGAGGCUGCAACCCAUGGAAGCUGUACGCAUGGGGUAGCAGACUAGUGGUUAGAGGAGACCCCUCCCAAGMUACAACGCAGCAGCGGGGCCCAACACCAGGGGAAGCUGUACCCUGGUGAUAAGGACUAGAGGUUAGAGGAGACCCCCCGCACAACAAUAAACAGCAUAUUGACGCUGGGAG